Long non-coding RNA from Pezoporus occidentalis (night parrot), 1229 nucleotides. RefSeq lists it as uncharacterized. NCBI's taxonomy places the organism in Eukaryota, Metazoa, Chordata, Aves, Psittaciformes, Psittacidae. The transcript has 2 exons. The record is from RefSeq and is a predicted model, not a curated record.
CGAGAUAAUACACCUCAGCUCCAGGAGGCUGGUAAUGGCAAGUUGUUUUCAUUGCUUUCAUCAUUAGAGAUCUAUAUAUGGGCUGGCAAUCACGUGGCUUCCUGCAGUUCAGCUUCCCUGCUUGUAAACACGUGCCACAAUUCCACUUUCUGGUUGCUGGAAACGGAAAGUCGGGGACUUCUCAGUAAAUUCUGCUCCUCCAAACAAGUUACAGUUAUGAAAUCGUUUUCCUUAACGCCUGCUAAUCUUCUACAACUGCACGCUGCGGCCGUAUCCUUCCUGUACGAAGCUUGGAUUCGCUGGCAUGAAGGGAAACACACAUAGCUUUGGAAGUCAAAACCAUCUUCCACAUGAUCGGAACAGAAACCUCAGGCUUGAUGUCUGUGCAUUUGACACGGAAUACAGAAGCCUCCGAGUUAGACUUGAGCAUGUUCCAAUGGCUUCCAAAUAGCCUGAAGGGCAGCUCCAAAACUAAAGGUAAUUAUGAAAAUAAAACCAUGAAUUUCUCAAACCAAAGCCUUGGUUUAAACCCUGAAAAGAAACUUGUGGAGACUGGUCCAUGCUGGAUCGCUAAAACUGGGUAUACGGGCUGGUUCUACAUCAAUCUGGUCAUGUCUGAAGCACGUCUGUGAACAACCUCUAUGGCUUGUACUUAAGAUACACGCUUAAAAGCUUUAACUGAGUCUUACCUACAAAUUCAGUCUAAUCCUGCAAAAUUAGGUGCCAUCAAGAGCAAAGCUCUCAGGGCCCUUGAUACAGAGGCCUGAAGGUUAGACAUCACUUUCUUGAUCAAUUAGCUGCUAUUUCAAAUAGCUGUGAAGGCUUGGCAUAGAUUCAUUUAGUCUUAAAAAGGUUCAUAAAGUCUUUGUCUUGCUAGAAACAAGCAGAAACAGAGGGUUUCCUUGCUCACAAGUCCCUAGGUCUGCCUCACCAGUGGGUUAAAGGCUCCCGAAACCCUACUUCUUGCUCUCGCUCACACCACCAUCCCCUGGCUUCCCCUCUUCUCUACCAUCUAUGGGUCAAUAUUAGAGCCCCUGUAACAGCAAUUAGGGCAAACAGACAAUUUGGUUGUGCCUUACUCUCUUGUGGCACCUUGCUCAGCACUGGAGCAGGACCUGUCCCUCCAUCCUUGAUCCUGAAAGACAGCACCUAGGAAAGCCACUGGCUGAAAAACCCUCCCUGCCUGUGAAUACCUCUCGACAUAACACUAUUAAAUAAAUAUCACACAA